RNAcentral lists this ribosomal RNA (539 nucleotides) under uncultured bacterium. Its description in RNAcentral is "bacterial SSU rRNA". It matches the Rfam family "Bacterial small subunit ribosomal RNA", at positions 9 to 526 of the family's 1533-position model. The record is from RNAcentral.
GAGUUUGAUCCUGGCUCAGGACGAACGCUGGCGGCGUGCCUAACACAUGCAAGUCGAACGGAGUUAAAUUCGACACCCGAGUAUCCGGCCGGGAGGCGGGGUGCUGGGGGUUGGAUUUAACUUAGUGGCGGACGGGUGAGUAACGCGUGAGUAACCUGCCUUUCAGAGGGGGAUAACGUUCUGAAAAGAACGCUAAUACCGCAUAACAUCAAUUUAUCGCAUGAUAGGUUGAUCAAAGGAGCAAUCCGCUGGAAGAUGGACUCGCGUCCGAUUAGCCAGUUGGCGGGGUAACGGCCCACCAAAGCGACGAUCGGUAGCCGGACUGAGAGGUUGAACGGCCACAUUGGGACUGAGACACGGCCCAGACUCCUACGGGAGGCAGCAGUGGGGGAUAUUGCACAAUGGGGGAAACCCUGAUGCAGCAACGCCGCGUGAGGGAAGAAGGUUUUCGGAUUGUAAACCUCUGUUCUUAGUGACGAUAAUGACGGUACCUAACAAGAAAGCACCGGCUAACUACGUGCCAGCCGCCGCGGUAAUUC